CACGUAGGGCGCAAGCGUUGUCCGGAAUUAUUGGGCGUAAAGAGCUCGUAGGUGGUUUGUUACGUCUGCUGUGAAAUCCUAGGGCUUAACCCUGGGCUUGCAGUGGAUACGGGCAGACUAGAGGUAGGUAGGGGGAGAAUGGAAUUCCUGGUGUAGCGGUGAAAUGCGCAGAUAUCAGGAGGAACACCGGUGGCGAAGGCGGGUCUCUGGAACGCAACUGACGCUGAGACGCGAAAGCGUGGGGAGCAAACAGG
Molecule: ribosomal RNA, 254 nt
Filed under: uncultured bacterium
Lineage: Bacteria
Description: partial 16S ribosomal RNA
Rfam family: Bacterial small subunit ribosomal RNA
Source: RNAcentral